UGGGGAAUUUUGGACAAUGGGCGAAAGCCUGAUCCAGCAAUGCCGCGUGUGUGAAGAAGGCCUUCGGGUUGUAAAGCACUUUUGUCCGGAAAGAAAUCCUUGGCUCUAAUACAGUCGGGGGAUGACGGUACCGGAAGAAUAAGCACCGGCUAACUACGUGCCAGCAGCCGCGGUAAUACGUAGGGUGCAAGCGUUAAUCGGAAUUACUGGGCGUAAAGCGUGCGCAGGCGGUUUGCUAAGACCGAUGUGAAAUCCCCGGGCUCAACCUGGGAACUGCAUUGGUGACUGGCAGGCUAGAGUAUGGCAGAGGGGGGUAGAAUUCCACGUGUAGCAGUGAAAUGCGUAGAGAUGUGGAGGAAUACCGAUGGCGAAGGCAGCCCCCUGGGCCAAUACUGACGCUCAUGCACGAAAGCGUGGGGAGCAAACAGGAUUAGAUACCCUGGUAGUCCACGCCCUAAAACGAUGUCAACUAGUUGUUGGGGAUUCAUUUCCUUAGUAACGUAGCUAACGCGUGAAGUUGACCGCCUGGGGAGUACGUCGCAAGAUUAAAACUCAAAUGAAUUGACGGGGUCAUAGCUGUUUCCU
RNAcentral lists this ribosomal RNA (585 nucleotides) under uncultured bacterium. RNAcentral's name for it is "partial 16S ribosomal RNA". It matches the Rfam family "Bacterial small subunit ribosomal RNA", at positions 355 to 1375 of the family's 1533-position model. The record is from RNAcentral.